Molecule: ribosomal RNA, 497 nt
Filed under: uncultured bacterium
Lineage: Bacteria
Description: partial 16S ribosomal RNA
Rfam family: Bacterial small subunit ribosomal RNA
Source: RNAcentral
GACGAACGCUGGCGGCGUGCCUAAUACGUGCAAGUUGAGCGCUGAAGGUUGGUACUUGUACCGACUGGAUGAGCAGCGAACGGGUGAGUAACGCGUGGGGAAUCUGCCUUUGAGCGGGGGACAACAUUUGGAAACGAAUGCUAAUACCGCAUAAAAACUUUAAACACAAGUUUUAAGUUUGAAAGAUGCAAUUGCAUCACUCAAAGAUGAUCCCGCGUUGUAUUAGCUAGUUGGUGAGGUAAAGGCUCACCAAGGCGAUGAUACAUAGCCGACCUGAGAGGGUGAUCGGCCACAUUGGGACUGAGACACGGCCCAAACUCCUACGGGAGGCAGCAGUAGGGAAUCUUCGGCAAUGGACGAAAGUCUGACCGAGCAACGCCGCGUGAGUGAAGAAGGUUUUCGGACCGUAAAACUCUGUUGGUAGAGAAGAACGUUGGUGAGAGUGGAAAGCUCAUCAAGUGACGGUAACUACCCAGAAAGGGACGGCUAACUACGUG